AAAUGGAGAACAGCUGCUCACGCUCGUCGUCUGACAUCAGCUAUUUCUCAGGAUGACCCUGCGAGACAGGCCAGGGUCAUUAGACCCAAUUUGGUUCUCAGCAAAUAUGUGUUUAUUCCUGCAUGCGUGGGCCACAGGCUGGUUUCUUGGGUGCAAUGAAUAGCUGCAGGUUUAUUAGGGUGUCUUUUUAGAUGGAUGUAUGUUUCCCGAUGUCUAUAGAACACUCCGGACCCCGGAGAGUGAAGACUCUGCCUGUCGGACUUGCUUUGAGAAGAUCCUUCUCCACCUCCCCAUGGCAGAAGUUGCUUCACAGAGGGGAACAGUUUUAUGGAUGUGGCUGAGACCUUAAACUUGAGGCAACCCAUCUGAGGUGGCAUCCAGAGGAGACUGGCUGGCCCCUCCUUCACCUUGGAUGUAGUGCUGUUUCUAGGAUCUCUUUUCAAUCAGCAAAACAGGGGAUGUUCCAAGAGGGUGUGGAUUCCCUGCCAUCCCACAUGGUCAAGUGGAGGGGACGGGAAAAAGCUAUGAAGGGUUUGUGACCACACAGACUCUCCUGGCCCCCUGUCCUUUUGGAAAGAAGACAGGGAUGAAAUAUAAUCAAGCAAUUAACCACCCCCAUCAUCACCAAGAACAACAGUAUCAACAAGAAGAACAGGGACAACAAAACCCACGGAUGAAACAUUCCUUUCUCAGCUCAGAUCUUAUCUGGUGCGUUCUCUCUCUGCUCUGUCUUGGUGUGUGGUUUAGAGAAACAUGGACAACGCUGUUUGGAAGAACAGGGUCGAGCUGUUCCUGAUGUUUAUCGGAGACUGGGAUCAAAGCUAUCCAGGUCAUAAAUCUCUCUCUGUGGCUGUUGGGCCCCAGGGCAGCUGAAGAGGGUUGACAGCCCUUUGGACCUCAAAGGAAAAAAUGUGCUCUACUCCACCCACUCCCAGCUCUGCCAAGAAGCUGUCCUCUGAGAAGCCAUGGCUGGGCCGUUCCAUUCUGGGGAGCUGCUGAAAAGAGCUGGGAGGCCGAGAAGAACUUGCGUGUGCUGGGGGAGAGGAAGCCUGGCCUUGAGGGAGGGGUGCAGGUGUGGCUCCUCUGUGUGUGGGGGCUGGGGGACCUUGUGUGCCUUUUCCUUGUGGCUGUGAAAUGCUUUAUGAGUACUUCCAUAGGAGGAUGGACAGGGAGUCGGGGAGAUAAACUCAGCCACAAGGCCCCAGGGCCUCAGGAAACUUGCACCCAACCCUCUCAUUUUACAGAAGAAAACUGUGCCUGGAAGGUUGAAGGGUUUGUUCCCAGUCACACAACCAGGGAUCCUUAGGACAGCCAGACCAGGAAACCAUUUCCAAACUGCCAAGCCAUGGCAGAGUAUCAAGACCUCAGGAACCAUCGAGACACCAUGGAAGCAUUGGGAAAAGCCUCCUUAGCUUUUGAAGCUCCUCAUUGUUCUUGAGUGUGCAUGGAGCCCAUGACUGCGGGGUUUUGUAGACACCUCAGGGAUUACAUGACUGGUACCCCUGACAAAGUCAAGGCUGCUGGACAAAAUGAGUCCGAGGAUUUCAGGGGCAGCUGGGCGCAGGAGCUGGUGGGCUGUUGGGAGUGCCCCUUUACUGGGCAGGCUUCCUUCCUCCUGGUGAUGGGGGGUUCCUCAGCACAAAAGUGAAGGGGUGGAGGGGCUGGAGGAGCAGGAAUCUCUCUUGUUGAUAGGUAUGAGGCCUUGAAGUCCUUUUCUUUGUCCCAGGAUUCAUGGACGCUUCGGGGCUGAUCUUUGAGUUUUCAAGCAUGGGGUGCAGAGACGUUUAGGUAAACUCUUACCGUCCUCUCUCUUCGUCAGGGCUUCCCAGGAAUCAACAAUGCCCAAGAAGGAAGGGAUUGUAGAAAUAGCUUAACCCUUUCAUUUACCAACGUGGAAAUUGAAGCCCAGGGAAGGGAAGGGACCGGUCGUGGAAGGGAGAGCCAUCAGCAGAAAGAGACCCUGAGAUCUUCGCCUGGGAUUCCCAGGAAGUCCAGCCCGAGCUGAUUCACAGAACAAAUGCAUGCAAACCUUGCUAUCAAUAAAUUACACAUGCACUUACGUAAAACACAUAAAAAUAUAUGGCCUUGGUUUUGGAACAAUACCCCACAGAUAAAAGUAGCUUUAAAUCCUCCAUAAAAUGAUAAAGUCUAGUCCUAAACUCCUAGCAGUUCUGCGGGUGAUCACAGGCGGCAGGAGCCGCUCAAACUUUAAUGGCUUGGUAUCUCCACAUGUAGACAGGAGGCAGAAAACCAUCGGGGAUGAAGUCGUGGGCUCUAGAAUUGCAAAGACGUGGGUUCCAGGCCAGGCUUGGCCCUUGCUAACUGUUGACCUUGAGCAAAUUACCCAACCUGUUCCUUAUUUGUUUCUGCCUCAUAGGUAGUUGUGCAGAUGAAAUGAUAUCAGUUCUCAGAACAGUGCUGGGGACAGAGUACACUCUAUGCUCAAUACAUAUUCACUUUUAGAGAUAUCUUGGGAUUCUCAGUCUAAGUGACAUUCAAAAGUACCUCACUGGGAGGCAAGACCAAGGUGGAGCCUCCUCUUGGAUGGGAUGUGGGCCUAUUUUAUUUUACUUCUUUAUUUUUGUAGGUGCAUGCCACCACACUUGCUAAUUAAUUUUUUUUUUUUUUUUUUGUAGAGAUGGGGUCUCACUAUGUUGCUCAGGCUGGUCUUAAACUCCUGGCCUCAAGCAAUCCUCCUGCCUCAGCCUCCCACAGUGCUGGGAUUACAGGCAUGAACCACUGAGCCCGGCACCUCUAUUUUAAAUCUAUUUUAUCUUUUGAGAUAUAGUCUUGCUCUGUCACCCAGGCUGGAGUGCAGUGGCGCGAUCUCAGCUCCCUGUAACCUCUGCCUCUCGGGUUCAAGCAAUUCUUCUGCCUCAACCUCCCAAGUAGCUGGGACUACAGGCGCCCGCCACCACGCCUGUCUAAUUUUUUGUAUUUUUAGUAGAGACAGGGUUUCACCAUGUUAGCCAGGAUGGUCUUGAACUCCUGACCUCGUGAUCUGCCUGCCUCGGCCUCCCAAAGUGCUGGGAUUACAGGCGUAAGCCACUGCACCCGGCUAUUUUAAAUCUACAGACAAAUCACCCAUGAAGUGCAGUGGGGGAAUAGAGGGCUGGGCUCAGUUAAUUCAGAAGAAGAUUUAUCCCAGGAUCAGGAAAUGAGAGUUUCAGAUGUUGCCAGUAGCUUAAGUGGCUUUUAGGGCCUUUUUUCUGUCUGGCCAGGGCUCAUCCUGGGCUGAGCUUUAAGGCCUGUUAGGGGCUGAAUUCUGUCCCCCUCAAAGUUUAUAUGUUGAACUCAUAACCCCAGUACCUUAGACUGUGACUGUAUUUGGAGAUAGGGUCUCUAAAGAGGUAAUUAGGUUAAAAUGAGGUCACUAGGGUGGGCCCUAGUCCAAUAGAAAUGUGUCCUUGUUGGAUAAGGGGCAACGUGGACACAGACACGUGCAGAGGGGAGCCCCUGUGAAGAAGCGGGGAGAAGACAGUCACCUGCAAGCCACAGACGGGGCCUGUGAAGGAACCAAUCCUGUCAAUACCUUGGUCUUGGUCUUGGCCUUCCAGCCUCCAAAACCCAGAGGCCAUCAAUUUCUGGUGAGGCAGCCCUAGCCGCCUUUCUAAGCGUUCAUACUCCUGGUUUGGCAGAGGGGAAGGGACCACGGCCAGCGCUUCUUAAACCUUCGUGUGUGUGAAACUCACUUCCUGGGGAGCUGGAUCAAGAUGCAGAUUCUAUGACCAUCUAGUUUCCCCUUUCUCAUCCCUUAUCUAAUUUGCUCCUCUGUGGAACUGUGUGAAGUAGACAGGGCAAGAAUUUUCAUCCCCAUUUUCCAGAUUAAGAAACUGAGUCUCAGAUGGAAGAAUCACAGCAAGUGAGAGGCAGUCAAGCCUCCAACUCAGGUCAAGUGAGGCGUCCUCACAUCCCAUGCCCCCCGUAAUUUCCCGAUCCCUAGCAGGGGCACCUGGGGAGACUCCCUGGUGAUGCUGUGUCAGGACUCCCUUCUUUAUUUUGAGACAGAGUUUCACUCUUGUCACCCAGGCUGGAGUGCAGUGGUGUGAUCUCAGCUCAUUGCAACCUCCACCUCCCAGGUUCAAGCAAUUCUCCUGCCUCAGCCUCCCAAGUAGCUGGGAUUAUAGGUGCCUGCCACCAUGCCUGGCUAAUUUUUGUAUUUUUAGUUGAGACGGGGUUUCACCAUGUUGGCCAGGCUGGUCUUGAACUCCUGACCUCAGGUGAUCCACCUGCCUCGACUUCCCAAAAUGCAGGGAUUACAGGUGUGAGCCACCGUGCCUGGCAGGGCUCCCUUUUUGACAGACACUGUCUUAGACCUCAGGCUCCCUCAGGCCUUCGCUCUUGGGGGUUGGAGCUGAGGGGAGGAUGGAAAGUGUCCCUCCCCAUCACAGCGCAGCUAGCUGGUGAGAGGGGCUGGGAGCUCCCGGAUCUGUCUGGACAUGCAGCCACUCCUGGCAGUCCCCACCCCUCCUUCCACCCAGCCCCUCUGCCUUCCAGCAAGUGAAUGAAGUCAGGCAGGCCCUGGGCCAUCCCGGGUGAAGGAGGGAGUGGGCAUGGCUUGGCACUCCAAGGGCUCGCCAUUGGGAGGGGCGUGGAGACGGUGUGAACUCCUUGGUGUCUUGCUCUUGUCAUCUUCCAGCAUGACAUAUGCACAAAGGUACCUUUUAUAGGUGGGAAAUUAUAGGUGCUGCCACUUCAAAGGCCUUGGCAACCAGAGCUCCUCUUUGAUAGAUGACAGUAUUAUUAAUGGUGAUUUAUUGCUGGGGCCAUUUUGACAACAGAAAUAACCAGUUUCCCCACCUUUUCGGCUCUCUUCUCCCACACCUUCCUGGGGAUUUUUUUUUAUUUUGGCUGGCCCUGUGUGUUUUUCUGGCUGCAGGGGUUACCUCCCUGCACGAGGAGGCAUGGGAGGUAACCCAUGGAGCAUCUGCUUAAGGCACAUAGUGAGGCAUCUGGCUUAUUAACUUGUCAUCAUGUGUCAUAAAGUUUAGUGAAAUGCUGGCAGAUUGUAAUCCUAAACAGGGCAAUUACCCUCUUAUUAAAGCAGUACUUUUUCUGUCUGUCUGUCUGUCUCUCUCUUAUUUUUCUCUCUCUCCCUGCCUCCACCCCCUUUCCUGGGAUUGUUGUUACCUCUGCCCUACUUGCACAAUUAGUCAUGAGCGGAGGUCACCUGCUUCAUAAUGAUCCCAGAGUAGGCCUGGCCUUGGCGGGGCAGAGCUGAAGGGGAAGGGGCAAAGGAGAGCUAACCAUGGUGAGGCUUGCUGCAGCAAGCUGGCCUCACGGGGCAUGGGGACAAGGCGCUGUCCCAGGCGGGAGGCUGCAGUAAGAAGGUUGUGGUCUGAGGUUUCUGGCUGCAGGCAGCGAGAAGGAGAGAGGAGAGAGAGCUGACAGGAGCGACUGAGCCUCUGUGGACUUCGCCGCUCACCCAGAUUUUCCGGCAGAGAUGCCUCCCUCUGCCUUUUUCUCCCUCACUUUCGUAUCUCGAAACACAGGUGGAAAAUAAGAAAGGAAGUGGCAGUGGGUGAUGGGGGCCUGGGACAUGAGGACUCCUCACUUGAUCUGAAUUGGAGGCUUGGCUGCCACUCACUUGCUAUGAUUCUUCCAUCUGAGACUCAAUUUCUAAAUCUGUGAAAUGGGGGUGAAACAUCUUGCCCUGUCUGCUUCCCACAGUUUUAGGGAAGAUCAAAUUAGAAAAGGGAUAGGAAAGGGGAUGGCUCAUGGUAACUCACUCCACAAAUCUGAGGGAUGAUUGUAAUUUCAUAUGUGUGACCACAGGGUCUUAUGUCAUGUCUAACGGAGCUCUACCCCCGUGAUUCCAAAGGAUCGUUGACUAUAUUGAAAUUUGGUCUUCUGUCUCUUUCUGUAUUCCUCAGGGUUUUGAUGACCUUGGUUUCUAAAUCUGCCUGGGAGGCAUUGUUUGACUCUGGUCUGAACAACAGGAGUUUUCGGCACAGGUGUGAUCAUGUUACCUGCACAGUGCGAGGUUAAGAAGACAAAUGGGGGUAGGCUAGAGGCAACAGCCAAAUCACAAUUUGCCAGAUCUGAAAAGACCUUAGAGAUUACCUAGCUGAAUUGUCCCCUGCUGUAGAUUUGUAAAUCGAGGCUCGAAGAGGUAGAAUAACUUUCCUAAAAAUCAUCAGAUAAAUGACAGGCAGAGUGGAGACUAGAUCUCCCAUCGCCAGACUUGGCCCAGUGCUCUGUCCACCAAAGCAUGUUGACUGCAUCAACUCUGGGUGCACCUUCUCCUCCUUUAUCAUCAGUCAGCGUUCAGGAAAGCACUGCUAGCAGUCAUUUACACCUUAGCAUGAAUUUAAGCCAACAUUUAGUUCUCCCAGGUGCAUUUGCUUUUUUUUUUUUUGAGAUGGAGUUUUGCUCUUGUCGCCCAGGCUAGAGUAUAAUGGUGUGAUCUCAGCUCAUUGCAACCUCCACCUCCCGGGUUCAAGCGAUUCUCCUGCCUCAGCCUCCUGAGUAGCUGGGAUUACAGGCACCUGCCACCACGCCUGGCUAAUUUUUGUAUUUUUAGUAGAGACGGGGUUUUGCCAUGUUGGUCAGGCUGGUGUCAAACUCCUGACCUUAGGUGAUCUGCCCACCUCGGCCUCCCAAAGUGCUGGGAUUACAGGCGUGAGCCACUGUGCCCAGCCGCAUUUGCUUUUGAGGUCUCAUCCCAUUGUAUAGAUUGUUCCCUGUCAAUGGCAUUUCCAGCACUGGUGAGAAGAGAGGCAAGGCAGGGCUUGUGAUUCUCAUCCCCAAGACCCUGCCACUUGCCUACUCGCUCGGGCAAUGAGGGCGGGCACUGCUUCCAGAGUUAAACUGCACUGGACCCAGAUCUAUGUGUCCAUAAGUCAGAGCAAGUUUGUCAGAAGCUGUCAGGGAGUAAGGCUGAGUAGACGGAUGGAGUCAGACUCAUUUAAAAAUGGAAUACCAGCAGAUAGGUUUAAAAAUGGAAUGCGGCCGGCUAGAGUGAAGGUGGUCCCUAAACCAAACACCUGUCCCUUCUGUGUGUUUUCUGGUUUCUUUCCCCAUUGCUCGAGAAUGCUAGAAGCCAGACUAGUAUUAAGAACUCUAAAUUCCUAGCCUGGCAUGGUGGUUUACACCUGUAAUCCCAGCAACUUGGGAGAUCAAGGCAGGAGGGGAUCACUUGAGCCCAGGAAUUUGAGACCAACCUGGGCAACGUGUUGAAACCCCAUCUCUACAAAAAAUACAAAAAUUAGUCAGGCAUGUGGUGCAUGCCUGUAGUCUCAGCUACUUGGGAGGUUGAGGUGGGAGGAUUGCUUAAGCCCAGGAGGUCGAGGCUGCAGUGAGCCAUGAUCGCGCCACUGCACUCUAGCCUGGGUGACAGAGCGAGACCUUGUCUCAAGACAAACAAACAAACAAACAAACAAAAAACUCUUAAGUUCUAAGUGCCUGGAGCAGGGAGUGUUUCUGAGGCCUCAUGUUUACCAGGGCACUGUGCUAUGUGCAGGGUAGUGAGGGGGAGAGACACCAUUCCAACAUCUUGGAGCCCAAGUCUAGAGUCAGGGCCACAGAGGCGGGAGAGGAAGAGAAUCCCACUGCAAAUGGGCUGGGCCUCCCUGCCUUUGCCCAUUGAGUGAGCAACAGUGCUGUUUCUAUAGGUCUCUUUGAGCCUUAAGCAUGGAAUGUGAUGAGACUGAACAGUGAUAAAAUGUAUUGAUGGAACUUCUGUUCAUUGAAAUGCAAAGGGGAAGAAAGAAUUUAGAAAUGAUCUGAGGUUUCCAGCUUGGGGAGAGAGAAAGUGAGAGGAAGUGGGGGCCUAAGGGGAAUGGAAUGAACAGCCCCGACUUCAGGCUUGUAGACUGCAAUGGGGCAAGGCAGCUACAUGCAAAUGUCCUUCCUGGAGCCUGGAAACAAGGUCAAAGCAGAGAUGGACAAGUAGGAGCGCAGCCUAGAGGAGAUAGGUGAUGCCUGAAGCCAUGAGAAGGGGUGUUAUCUCUGCAGGAAGAAGAAUUGCAACACUCCUCCCAGCUGAGCAAACAGUCUGGGCUGGGAUGUGAGUGGUAUCACACUCUGCACUCACUUCCUCCUUCAGUGGUCAUUUGAGAGUUCACUGGGGCUGACCUACCCCAUUGGUCCUGGAGGACAGAAAGGAAUGGAGAAUAAAGAAGGUCUAAGGUGCAGUUUUUCCCCCUCCUCCAAAGCCAUGAAGGGACCUAUGGAUUUGAAAGCUGUGUGUGGUCACUGUGGACAGAGUGACUCCUACCCCACUGGGGGGCUUUGCCAGCCAAGGCACAAAUCAAGCCUUCUCUUUGCCCUCUGAAGUCAAAGGGAGAAGACCGGGGUUGUCCAUCUUUAUAGGCAGCCUCAGAUGAUCCAACCUAAUAUACGUCAUUAACAAAUUGUGUGAUCUUGAACAAGUCAGUUUAUCUCAUUGUGACUCAAGUGAACAUAAGGGUAUAGAGCAUUUGCCCUGCUGACCUCACUGGAUCAUUGUGAAAUAAUAGCUAAUGAGAUGGUGCAUAGCAGGUGUUUUGUAAACUUAACAGUGAUAGGCAAAGCUUAGUUCCCAUGAGAAUGACUCUCUGACUAUUAUCUAUGGCAUUGGAAUACUGACCUCCCUUCUCUGAGAAAGCUCCAGCGGCAAAAUGCUUCUGAUCUCAAACUUUAGGACCAAUUUUCUGGUUUACAGGGCAGGACGAGCCCCUUCUCUUAAGGAUCAAGGGGAUGAAGGAGAAUUCCCUGCUUUUGGUGGGGGGUUACUUCUGAAAGCCAUGCCCUGCUCCCAUCUGAGGAGGUCACCCAGUCCUAGUUUUGUCUGGAAGCACCCUGCCCAGCCCCAGGGGCCAGCCCCAUCCCAGCCAGGCCUCAGAGAUGUCAGACCUGAAAGGCAGCUGCUGCCUCUCCUUCUGACAGGUGUCUCCGCCAGAGCUGGGAGAUGAGGAGAUAGGCGAGCUGAGCACCUUUCCUCCUUGAAUUGAUAACUGCUUUGCAAUGCAGCUCUGUACUUGCUAAAUGAAACCUCCUGCCCCACCAUGAUGGAUUUAUGGCUGAAACAUCUUAUCUCAACUGAGAAUAUUUUAUGAGUGUGCAUGGGUGUGUGUGGGAUAGGAGGAGGGAAAAGGCAGUUUUGCAAACAUUUCUAGAGGUGCUCCAUAAUCUGCCCUACCCUGAAGUAUUAUCUAGAAGCUCUUUCUAGAUCUGCCAGGCUUAAGCAUCUAUAAGUCUUCUCCAGAUGCUAGCACAAUGUAGAUGCCUCAUGAAACAUUUGCUGAUGAUGAUGAUGACGAUGAUGACGAUGAAGGCUGUGGUCUGGAAGGGGACUCUGUUUUUGAUAAGUUUAAUUCAAUCCAGCAAAUAUUGAACAAAUGCUCAUUUUUGUUCAGGGCUAGGAAAGCUACUAUUAUUAUUUUUUUGGUGGGGUGGAGAAAGGGGAGAGUUGGAGAAUAUAAAAAUAAAUGACACAAACUCUUUUCUCUACAUCCUUGGUCUAUACUGAGGGGCCAGGACAUGCACAUUCGGAGUGGAUGUGGAGCAGAAGGGGUUGGAGUGGCAAGAACUAAUGGCCCAGAGUGUAGCUUCAGGAGCUGGACACACCUGGUGGGAUCUUUAGGUAGUUUCUUGUCUUUUGAGCUCCUCAGUUUUCUCCCCUCUAACAGGGGGACAACACUAUUCCCUAGCUCUAAGGUUGGUGUGAAGGUCAUAGGAUUUGCGUAGGGGUUACUUGGUACCAUGUGGGGUCAGCAGCUCAGUAGCAUCACCAACACGAGGAUGAAGAUGAAGGACCGACUCACUGACGAGGGUGGGCUGGAGAUGACUGGGAGCCAGGAACCAUCACAAACUCAGGGCUCUGUGUGCACUGGUUAUCCCAUUCUUUUGCAACCUUGUAAAAUUAAUUUAAUAGGUAGUACAUCCAAGUGGUUUAAAAAGCAAAAGGUAUAAAGAAAUAUGCAGUGAAGAUGAAAAUUGCUCUCAGUUCUGACCCCUCACUAUUGUGCUCCUCCUUCUCAGAGGCAGCUGUUGUCAUUGGUUUCUGGGGCAUUCUUUCCAAGGGCGUUGUACACCCAGCAUCUAAUGAUGCUACCUCUUCUUCCUCUUUCUUGUUUUAACCCAAAAGGAGGAAUUGGGAGUUGAUGAUAGCCAUAGAGUGGAAGGCAGCAGCUGGAGGGAGGAAGCUGGAUGUAUCUGAGCAUCUACUACGUGCCAGGCCCAGAUGAAAUCUUAUCAGUUCUAGCGAAAUUUGGAGAAAGAUUCACUGUCUUAGAAUUUGAAAACAUCAGUGCUGGAGGGGAAGGUGGAAGCCAUCUGGCUAAUCUUCAUUUACUGAUAUGGAAGUGACUAGUCCAAAGUCCCAGAGCUUUCUGAUUUUUGCUUCUUCUUGCUAGGAAAGCAAUUAUCCUAUAAUAAUCCUUCUUUACAGGUAAAAAUAUUUUAUGGUGCACCUGCCUCCCUUGCCAGUGGAAUGACAGUCUCCAUAGACCUGUGGGCCAUCUGGGCCCUGGGCCAGCCUCCUUGUCUCACACUAGCUUGUUGGGGACCUGCCCUUGCUGGCACCCAUCAUUCCAGCUCCCUCCUGUUGUAACUCCUGCCCCAAAUCCCAGGACUUGUCGCUGCCAGCUUUUUCCCCUGUUGUUCCUUGUCUUCCCACCCUUCUCAGGACUCAGGUCACCAGGAUAGGUGGACAUCCAAUUCCUGCUGGAGUGCCAGCAGGAGAGAUUUGGGGAACUCUUCCAGGUAAAGGGGGUUUUACCUGCUAAGGGUUGACUUGUGUCUCCCCCACAAAUUCAAAUAGUGAAGUCCUAAACCUGCCAGUACUUCAGAAUGUAAUUAUCUUUGUAGAUAGGGUCUUUAAUGGGGUAAUUAAAUUAAAGUGAGGUCACUAGGGUGGGGCCUAAUCCAAUAUGACUGGUGUCCUUAUAAGAAGAGGAAAUUAGGACACAGACAGGCACAGAGCGAUGACCAUGUGAAGACACAGGGAAGAGAUGGCCACCUACCACCAAGCCAUGGUCACCUACCAUCCAAGCCAUGGUCACCUAUCACCAAGCCACAGUCAUCUACCAUCCAAGCCACCGUCACCUACCAUCCAAGCCAUGGCCACCUACCUGCCAAGCCAUGGCCACCUACCCGCCAAGCCAUGGUCACCUACCCACCAAGUCAUGGUCGCCUACCAUCCAAGGAGCGAGGCCUGGAACAGAUCCUUCCCCAGAGCCCUCAGUAGGAGCCAACCCUGCUGACACCUUGAUCUCAGACUUCAAGCCUCCAGAACUGUGGGACAAUCCUUCACUGUCAUUUAAUCCACCCAGCAUGUGGUCUCUUGUCACAGUUGCAUUAGCCAGUGAACCUACCCGGGCCCUUCUGCAGUCACCUGGCUCAGGAGUGGUUCUGGUCAGGAAGUUCUGAGGCCAGGCAGGAUCGGGACACUCCCUGGAAAGACCCGAGGGAGAUAUUUGGGAAACAAGAGGGCUGGUGUGGCUUCUCAACAUGCCCACCAUAAAUCCUGCGCCAUCCCAGGGCCGAUGGGACCUGCUGUGUGUGCGGUAAACUGAAUGCCAGGAAGCCAGGCUCUGUCGAUCCCUGGUUCUGACUGUUGUGGGAUCUUGAGCAAAUCCCCUCGCCUCUCUGGGUCUCAGUUUCCUGAUUUGUGGGAUGGAGAAAAGGAUUAACUGUCCCACUUACCUUGAGGCUGUGGUGUGGAUUAAAUGAUUAAAAUGCAUAAGUGCAAUUGCAAAAAUAUAGAACCAGCCCAUCAAUCAAUGAGUGUAUAAAGAAACUGUUGUGUAUAUAAUAUAUAUAAUGGAAUACUACUCAGUCAUAAAAAGGAAUGAAUUAAUGGCAUUCGCAGCAACCACGAUGAGAUUGAAGACUACUAUUCUCUUUUUUUGCUUUGUUUUUGAGAUGGAGUCUUCCUCUGUCACCCAGGCUGGAGUGCAGUGGCACGAUCUUGGCUCACUCCAACCUCCGCCUCCCAGGUUCAAGUGAUUUAAGAUUGGAGACUAUUAUUCUAAGUGAAGUAACUCAGGAAUGGAAAAGCAAACAUCAUAUGUUCUCACUCAUAAGUGGAGCUAAGCUGUGAGGAUGUAAAGGCAUAAGAAUGAUACAAUGGACUUUGGGGACUCAGGGGGAAAGGGUGGGAAAAGGGUGAGGGAUAAAAAGCUACAAAUUGGGUUCAGCGUACACUGCUUGGGUGAUGGGUGCACCAAAAUCUCACAAAUCCCCACUAAAGAACUUACUCAUGUAACCAAAUACCACCUGUUCCCCCCAAAUCUAUGGAAAUUAAAAAAAAUUAAAUAAAGUGUGCAAGUGCUGGCGAGGCCCCGAAGGAGCCCCACAUUGGUGAUGGCAACGCAGGUGACAGCACUUUCUCUCCCCAGUGGGGCUGGUGGUGCCCAUUCCUGGCUGCCCCACUCUGAGUCUGAGGAGGAACCAAGGCUUUCCUGGAAAUGCAGGGGCUGCCAUCGGCCUGUGGGCUUAGGGUCCCAAACAGGGAGAGCCCAUUGUUUGUCAUUUCUCCUCAGUAAGCAGAAAGCUCUAAGCCCUGAAGCCUCCGGUAAACGUCAGAACAUUUGGACAUCUGAGUCCAUUGUCUCCAGGUCUCAUAAUUUUCCUACAUUAAAAAUCCAAUAAUGCAUUUUGUGGAAAAUUUAGAAAGUACAGAUAAACAAGAGAAUAAAAAACAUGAAUUUUACCACUGUCAAAGCUGAAGGUCUAUCCUUCUAGCCUCUUCUUUAAAUGUGUGUAUUUUCAGAAAAAUGAAACCCUGUUGCACAUAAUACUUUAUAAGUUUUUUUUUUUUGACAAGGUCUCAUUCUGUUGUCCAGGCUAGAAUACAGUGUUAUGAUCAUAGCUCACGGCAGCUUCAAACUCCUGGCCUCAAGUGAUCCCACCUCAGCCUCCCAAAUUGCUGGGAUUCCAGAGCUCCAGGGUGGUGGCCUGAGGGAGGGAGCUGUCUGCUUCCCUUGAGGCCGAUGACCUGUGCCAUUCUUGACCAUCCCCUCACCAAGAGGAACUGAGACUG
This 12967-nucleotide long non-coding RNA is filed under the name Homo sapiens (human). Its description in RNAcentral is "non-protein coding lnc-BRF2-7:4". The record is from RNAcentral. Lineage: Eukaryota; Metazoa; Chordata; Mammalia; Primates; Hominidae.